This 253-nucleotide ribosomal RNA is filed under the name uncultured bacterium. RNAcentral's name for it is "partial 16S ribosomal RNA". It matches the Rfam family "Bacterial small subunit ribosomal RNA", at positions 524 to 776 of the family's 1533-position model. The record is from RNAcentral.
GACGAAGGAUCCAAGCGUUAUCCGGAUUCAUUGGGUUUAAAGGGAGCGUAGGCGGGUUUAUAAGUCAGUGGUGAAAGCCGAUCGCUUAACGAUCGAACUGCCAUUGAUACUGUAGACCUAGAGUACAGAUGAUGUUGGCGGAAUAUGACAUGUAGCGGUGAAAUGCAUAGAUAUGUCAUAGAACACCGAUUGCGAAGGCAGCUGACAAAACUGUAACUGACGCUGAGGCUCGAAAGUGCGGGGAUCAAACAGG